GAAACCUACGGGACGCAGCAGUGGGGAAUAUUGGGCAAUGGGCGCAAGCCUGACCCAGCAACGCCGCGUGAAGGAAGAAGGCCUUCGGGUUGUAAACUUCUUUUCUCAGGGACGAAGCAAGUGACGGUACCUGAGGAAUAAGCCACUGCUAACUACGUGCCAGCAGCCGCGGUAAUAUGUAGGUGGCAAGCGUUAUCCGGAUUUACUGGGUGUAAAGGGCGUGUAGGCGGGAAAGCAAGUCAGAUGUGAAAAUCAAGGGCUCAACCUGUGGCC
This 273-nucleotide ribosomal RNA is filed under the name uncultured bacterium. RNAcentral describes it as "partial 16S ribosomal RNA". It matches the Rfam family "Bacterial small subunit ribosomal RNA", at positions 334 to 621 of the family's 1533-position model. The record is from RNAcentral.